UGGGGAAUAUUGCACAAUGGGGGAAACCCUGAUGCAGCGACGCCGCGUGAGCGAAGAAGUAUUCGGUAUGUAAAGCUCUAUCAGCAGGGAAGAAAAAAUGACGGUACCUGAGUAAGAAGCACCGGCUAAAUACGUGCC
RNAcentral lists this ribosomal RNA (138 nucleotides) under uncultured bacterium. RNAcentral describes it as "partial 16S ribosomal RNA". It matches the Rfam family "Bacterial small subunit ribosomal RNA", at positions 355 to 509 of the family's 1533-position model. The record is from RNAcentral.